GAUGAACGCUGGCGGCGUGCUUAACACAUGCAAGUCGAACGAAGCUGCUUAACUGAUCUUUUUCGGAAUUGACGUUUUGUAGACUGAGUGGCGGACGGGUGAGUAACGCGUGGGUAACCUGCCCUGUACAGGGGGAUAACAGUCAGAAAUGACUGCUAAUACCGCAUAAGACCACAGCACCGCAUGGUGCAGGGGUAAAAACUCCGGUGGUACAGGAUGGACCCGCGUCUGAUUAGCUGGUUGGUGAGGUAACGGCCUACCAAGCCGACGAUCCAUAGCCGGCCUGAGAGGGUGGACGGCCACAUUGGGACUGAGACACGGCCCAGACUCCUACGGGAGGCAGCAGUAGGGAAUAUUGCACAAUGGGGGAAACCCUGAUGCAGCGACGCCGCGUGAAGGAAGAAGUAUCUCGGUAUGUAAACUUCUAUCAGCAGGGAAGACAAUGACGG
Molecule: ribosomal RNA, 449 nt
Filed under: uncultured bacterium
Lineage: Bacteria
Description: bacterial SSU rRNA
Rfam family: Bacterial small subunit ribosomal RNA
Source: RNAcentral